CGAAAAGUGAUGAUCUCCUUGAAUAACCCUGCCUCCGGAUGCUUCGAAAACAAUCCGCAACUAGAUGUCCUGAUUUUG
RNAcentral lists this unclassified non-coding RNA (78 nucleotides) under Arabidopsis thaliana (thale cress). Its description in RNAcentral is "small nucleolar RNA R54". The record is from RNAcentral. Lineage: Eukaryota; Viridiplantae; Streptophyta; Magnoliopsida; Brassicales; Brassicaceae.